AGUCUCUGCUGAUGUCUUGCACUGGGCUCAGACAUUGUGUGGUGAUGGAUGUGCUGCUCUGCCCCUGACAUGGUGGAGUCUGAAGAGACU
Tachysurus fulvidraco (yellow catfish) is the source of this 90-nucleotide small nucleolar RNA. NCBI's taxonomy places the organism in Eukaryota, Metazoa, Chordata, Actinopteri, Siluriformes, Bagridae. The record is from RefSeq and is a predicted model, not a curated record.